GACGAACGCUGGCGGCGUGCUUAACACAUGCAAGUCGAACGGAAAGGCCCUGCUUUUGUGGGGUGCUCGAGUGGCGAACGGGUGAGUAACACGUGAGUAACCUGCCCUUGACUUUGGGAUAACUUCAGGAAACUGGGGCUAAUACCGGAUAGGAGCUCCUGCUGCAUGGUGGGGGUUGGAAAGUUUCGGCGGUUGGGGAUGGACUCGCGGCUUAUCAGCUUGUUGGUGGGGUAGUGGCUUACCAAGGCUUUGACGGGUAGCCGGCCUGAGAGGGUGACCGGCCACAUUGGGACAGAGAUACGGCCCAGACUCCUACGGGAGGCAGCAGUGGGGAAUAUUGCACAAUGGGCGGAAGCCUGAUGCAGCAACGCCGCGUGCGGGAUGACGGCCUUCGGGUUGUAAACCGCUUUCGCCUGUGACGAAGCGUGAGUGACGGUAAUGGGUAAAGAAGCACCGGCUAACUAAGUG
This 468-nucleotide ribosomal RNA is filed under the name uncultured bacterium. RNAcentral's name for it is "partial 16S ribosomal RNA". It matches the Rfam family "Bacterial small subunit ribosomal RNA", at positions 28 to 507 of the family's 1533-position model. The record is from RNAcentral.